This 672-nucleotide unclassified non-coding RNA is filed under the name Kocuria rosea. RNAcentral's name for it is "partial 16S-23S ribosomal RNA intergenic spacer". The record is from RNAcentral. Lineage: Bacteria; Bacillati; Actinomycetota; Actinomycetes; Micrococcales; Micrococcaceae.
CUUUCUAAGGAGCCGUUGACCGCCGUGUGGUGGUCGCCCCCGCCCUAGUGCCCGUCCGUGGUGCUGGUGGGGUGAGCUCAUGGGUGGAAUAUCAACGAGCAAGUGGCCGCACUCCUCCUGUGCUUCCCGGGUUCCGAUCCGGCGGGUGUGGGGGUUGCCGGCCGGGUCGGGUCCUAGUACCUGUCCCAUCGUGGUGGGCCCUGUGGGGUUCCUCCGGUGUGGGUGGUGGAAGAGAACCGGUCCGGUGGUGGGUGUGGUCCGUGGCGCACUAUUGGGUCCUGAGACAACAGGCCCCGUCCCCUUUGGUGGGGGUGGGGGUGUUGUGUCGCAGGUUCCCGGCGUCCUGCCGGUGGUCGUGUCCCCUUCGUAGGGGGUGCUGCCACCAGUGUGCAGGGUGUGCGGGUUGUUGUUUGAGAACUGUAUAGUGGACGCGAGCAUCUUAAGAACAGGUGCCGCAGGCAGCCGGACGGCUUCCUCUUCCCGCAAGGGUCGGGGGUGUGUCUGGUGGGUUGUGGUGCCGUGUUCGUGAUUGAUCGCCGAGAUACCGCUGCCGUACCCCUAGGGGUGUGGUGGUGGUGGUAUCGGUGUGUUCUGUGAUCAUGUGGCAAGUUUUUAAGGGCGCACGGUGGAUGCCUUGGCAUCAGGAGCCGAUGAAGGACGCGGUAAUCUGCG